Molecule: ribosomal RNA, 253 nt
Filed under: uncultured bacterium
Lineage: Bacteria
Description: partial 16S ribosomal RNA
Rfam family: Bacterial small subunit ribosomal RNA
Source: RNAcentral
UACAGAGGGUGCGAGCGUUAAUCGGAAUUACUGGGCGUAAAGCGUGCGUAGGUGGUUUAAUAAGUCAGAUGUGAAAUCCCCGGGCUCAACCUGGGAACUGCAUUUGAAACUAUUAGGCUAGAGUGUGGUAGAGGGAAGUGGAAUUUCCGGUGUAGCGGUGAAAUGCGUAGAUAUCGGAAGGAACAUCAGUGGCGAAGGCGACUUCCUGGACCAUAACUGACACUGAGGCACGAAAGCGUGGGGAGCAAACAGG